Molecule: ribosomal RNA, 494 nt
Filed under: uncultured bacterium
Lineage: Bacteria
Description: partial 16S ribosomal RNA
Rfam family: Bacterial small subunit ribosomal RNA
Source: RNAcentral
GACGAACGCUGGCGGCGUGCUUAACACAUGCAAGUCGAACGGUGAAGCGCCUUCCUUUUUGGUGGGUGUGGAUGAGUGGCGAACGGGUGAGUAACACGUGAGUAACCUGCCCCCUUCUUCUGGAUAACCGCAUGAAAGUGUGGCUAAUACGGGAUAUUCUGGGUCUGUCGCAUGAUGGGUCUGGGAAAGAUAUUGUUUCGGUGGGGGAUGGGCUCGCGGCCUAUCAGCUUGUUGGUGGGGUGAUGGCCUACCAAGGCGGUGACGGGUAGCCGACCUGAGAGGGUGGACGGUCACACUGGGACUGAGACACGGCCCAGACUCCUACGGGAGGCAGCAGUGGGGAAUAUUGCACAAUGGGCGCAAGCCUGAUGCAGCGACGCCGCGUGAGGGAUGGAGGCCUGCGGGUUGUGAACCUCUUUCGCCAGUGAAGCAGGCCUGCCUCGUUUGUGGGUGGGUUGACGGUAGCUGGAUAAGAAGCGCCGGCUAACUACGUG